ACACCAACAAGCAGUGGAUGUUGUCAUGGCGAGCUUCGGCGCGAAACGGGGAAGCUAGAAAUCGCUGCGGAGACAAGCGCCGCUGCAGGAAAGCACAGUUCCACCGCAUUCUGCACGAUUCCUGCUGGUAUGGCUUUCUCCAGCAUUUCUAUGCUGGACUGCUGCUCACAUAUGAUGUGAUGUGCGCCCAUUUCCAGACUCUGAAGGUCGCGCAAAAUCGAAUCGGUUGGUAUGUUUAGCAUUUCUACGCCGCAGCGAACAGGGCAGGUUCCUCAAGUUUUCCCCACGUGAGAAUGAGAUUCUAUCUUUGGAGACUACCGAGGCUGGACCCUGUUCUUCUCUAUUUGUGCAUUGGUAGCAAUGAGGGUUGUGGCUGUGAUUGGAGACACGAGUAAGUAUAUCUUUGGCAAUCUGCUCAUGCUUGUAGAUUCUUCCGAAAUUCGCUCUGCCACAAUCUCGCAGGCGUUGAAUCCUUGCGUCAUCAGAAUCUGCCGCUUUUUAUCUUCGUUGGGCCAGAGAGCUGGUAUUCAUAGUGCUCUUGGAUUCUUCGAAACUUGCACAACAAGCCUCACAACAGACUUGUCGUCGAGGCGGCCUCUAGCUGGCCGCUCUUCACACAGACUUGGAUUUUUUUUCUUUCUUUAUUUGUUUGUUGCAAUCAAUGCUUUUGCAUAGUCUCCUUAGUGCACGAGAUUUGAGUAGAGGUGAUUCACAUUUUCAUUGACAAGGGAUUAGGAGAUCAGAUCAGAGUCUUUUGAAACUUACAUCAACAUGGGAGUUUUUUUUACUUUUUUUAUUAAAAAGAUAAAGGCACGAUUAGGAUUUUAUAGACACUUACGCAAGUUGUGUCUGUAUGGGUCUUCAGAACAGUGAUGCAAGGAGUAAUGUUGUAGCCUUAGAUGAUGCAAUCUACAAUUGCAUAUAAUGACGAGAAGAAAUAGAUUUGUUGACAACACUAGGUGGCUACAAACAAGC
Non-coding RNA from Physcomitrium patens, 975 nucleotides. The record is from RefSeq and is a predicted model, not a curated record. NCBI's taxonomy places the organism in Eukaryota, Viridiplantae, Streptophyta, Bryopsida, Funariales, Funariaceae.